GACCCGGACCUGGGUGAUCUAUCCAUGAUCAGGAUGAAGCUUGGAUGAAACUAUGCAGAGGUUCGAAUCAACUGAUGUUAAAGAAUCAGCGGAUGAGUUGUGGUUAGAAAUGAAAUGUCACUCGAACCCAGAGCUAGCUGG
RNAcentral lists this ribosomal RNA (141 nucleotides) under Aegilops tauschii subsp. strangulata. RNAcentral's name for it is "rRNA LSU_rRNA_eukarya". It matches the Rfam family "Bacterial large subunit ribosomal RNA", at positions 712 to 852 of the family's 2925-position model. The record is from RNAcentral. Lineage: Eukaryota; Viridiplantae; Streptophyta; Magnoliopsida; Poales; Poaceae.